GUGCCUCCUCCUUUUUUUCUUCACUCUCUCUCCUCACUCUUUCCUUUCUUUAUUUUUUCAUUUAUUUAUUUAUUGUCUUUCUUUUAAUUUUACUCGUGUUGUAUUCCUACCCACUAUGUAGGCUACUUGUCAGCCUUUUCCUUUUUCUGUAUCUCGGCUAACAGCACAGAGAGAGAGAGAGAGAGAGAGAGAGAGAGAGAGAGAGACUGGAACCCUAUACAAUAAUAUUAUCAUAUUAUAUGCGUAAUUAAUACAGAUUCCAGCCUCGACUCCAGUGGGUGCAUCUCAAACCUUGUGCCUACUGUGUCCUGGAUGAUGGCGUUCACUCCAGCCCUCAUGAUCCUCUCCUCCUUCCUCUCCUUUAUUCUGAUUCAUCACUUCUGUCAGAAAGCAGACAAAGAAUGUCAAAUUCUCCAGAAAAGACCUGACACCUGGGCACAAACAAGUUGGAAUAAGGAUGAAGAUGUGUAUUCAACACGAGUUGUGUUUCGGGCUAAGGAAGAAUAAACACAACAACAGAGAAUGGAGCGCACAGGCACACAGAAUGAAAUGAGUUGAAAUUCAAAUUGUUCAAAUUCAGGACCAGUUGUCCUUUCCUCUUGUUUUUCAGGCCAGUUGUUGUAUGUAGGUAACGUCCUGUGGUUUAAGACACUGCUGCAAGGUGAGCGAGCGCCUGAUUUGUGGGGCCUG
Molecule: long non-coding RNA, 690 nt
Organism: Morone saxatilis (striped sea-bass)
Lineage: Eukaryota; Metazoa; Chordata; Actinopteri; Moronidae
Exons: 3
Source: RefSeq, a predicted model, not a curated record